This 2796-nucleotide ribosomal RNA is filed under the name Enterobacter hormaechei. RNAcentral describes it as "partial 23S ribosomal RNA". It matches the Rfam family "Bacterial large subunit ribosomal RNA". The record is from RNAcentral. Lineage: Bacteria; Pseudomonadati; Pseudomonadota; Gammaproteobacteria; Enterobacterales; Enterobacteriaceae.
GGUUAAGCGACUAAGCGUACACGGUGGAUGCCCUGGCAGUCAGAGGCGAUGAAGGACGUGCUAAUCUGCGAAAAGCGCCGGCGAGGUGAUAUGAACCCUUGACCCGGCGAUGUCCGAAUGGGGAAACCCAGUGUGUUCCGACACACUAUCGUUAACUGAAUACAUAGGUUAACGAGGCGAACCGGGGGAACUGAAACAUCUAAGUACCCCGAGGAAAAGAAAUCAACCGAGAUUCCCCCAGUAGCGGCGAGCGAACGGGGAGCAGCCCGGAGUCUGAAUCAGCUUGUGUGUUAGUGGAACGGUCUGGAAAGUCCGACGGUACAGGGUGAUAGUCCCGUACACGAAAAUGCACAUGCUGUGAACUCGAAGAGUAGGGCGGGACACGUGGUAUCCUGUCUGAAUAUGGGGGGACCAUCCUCCAAGGCUAAAUACUCCUGACUGACCGAUAGUGAACCAGUACCGUGAGGGAAAGGCGAAAAGAACCCCGGCGAGGGGAGUGAAAAAGAACCUGAAACCGUGUACGUACAAGCAGUGGGAGCACCUUCGGGUGUGACUGCGUACCUUUUGUAUAAUGGGUCAGCGACUUAUAUUCUGUAGCAAGGUUAACCGUAUAGGGGAGCCGAAGGGAAACCGAGUCUUAACUGGGCGUUAAGUUGCAGGGUAUAGACCCGAAACCCGGUGAUCUAGCCAUGGGCAGGUUGAAGGUUGGGUAACACUAACUGGAGGACCGAACCGACUAAUGUUGAAAAAUUAGCGGAUGACCUGUGGCUGGGGGUGAAAGGCCAAUCAAACCGGGAGAUAGCUGGUUCUCCCCGAAAGCUAUUUAGGUAGCGCCUCGUGAACUCAUCUUCGGGGGUAGAGCACUGUUUCGGCUAGGGGGCCAUCCCGGCUUACCAACCCGAUGCAAACUACGAAUACCGAAGAAUGUUAUCACGGGAGACACACGGCGGGUGCUAACGUCCGUCGUGAAGAGGGAAACAACCCAGACCGCCAGCUAAGGUCCCAAAGUCAUGGUUAAGUGGGAAACGAUGUGGGAAGGCACAGACAGCCAGGAUGUUGGCUUAGAAGCAGCCAUCAUUUAAAGAAAGCGUAAUAGCUCACUGGUCGAGUCGGCCUGCGCGGAAGAUGUAACGGGGCUAAACCAUGCACCGAAGCUGCGGCAGCGACGCUUAUGCGUUGUUGGGUAGGGGAGCGUUCUGUAAGCCGUUGAAGGUGUGCUGUGAGGCAUGCUGGAGGUAUCAGAAGUGCGAAUGCUGACAUAAGUAACGAUAAAGCGGGUGAAAAGCCCGCUCGCCGGAAGACCAAGGGUUCCUGUCCAACGUUAAUCGGGGCAGGGUGAGUCGACCCCUAAGGCGAGGCCGAAAGGCGUAGUCGAUGGGAAACAGGUUAAUAUUCCUGUACUUGGUGUUACUGCGAAGGGGGGACGGAGAAGGCUAUGUCAGCCGGGCGACGGUUGUCCCGGUUUAAGCAUGUAGGCGGAGGUUCCAGGUAAAUCCGGUACCUUAUUAACGCUGAGGUGUGAUGACGAGGCACUACGGUGCUGAAGUGAUAAAUGCCCUGCUUCCAGGAAAAGCCUCUAAGCAUCAGGUAACACGAAAUCGUACCCCAAACCGACACAGGUGGUCAGGUAGAGAAUACCAAGGCGCUUGAGAGAACUCGGGUGAAGGAACUAGGCAAAAUGGUGCCGUAACUUCGGGAGAAGGCACGCUGAUAUGUAGGUGAAGCCCCUGCGGGCGGAGCUGAAAUCAGUCGAAGAUACCAGCUGGCUGCAACUGUUUAUUAAAAACACAGCACUGUGCAAACACGAAAGUGGACGUAUACGGUGUGACGCCUGCCCGGUGCCGGAAGGUUAAUUGAUGGGGUUAGCGGCAACGCGAAGCUCUUGAUCGAAGCCCCGGUAAACGGCGGCCGUAACUAUAACGGUCCUAAGGUAGCGAAAUUCCUUGUCGGGUAAGUUCCGACCUGCACGAAUGGCGUAAUGAUGGCCAGGCUGUCUCCACCCGAGACUCAGUGAAAUUGAACUCGCUGUGAAGAUGCAGUGUACCCGCGGCAAGACGGAAAGACCCCGUGAACCUUUACUAUAGCUUGACACUGAACACUGGUCCUUGAUGUGUAGGAUAGGUGGGAGGCUUUGAAGCGUGGACGCCAGUCUGCGUGGAGCCAUCCUUGAAAUACCACCCUUUAAUGGCUGGUGUUCUAACGUAGACCCGUGAUCCGGGUUGCGGACAGUGUCUGGUGGGUAGUUUGACUGGGGCGGUCUCCUCCCAAAGAGUAACGGAGGAGCACGAAGGUUGGCUAAUCCUGGUCGGACAUCAGGAGGUUAGUGCAAUGGCAUAAGCCAGCUUGACUGCGAGCGUGACGGCGCGAGCAGGUGCGAAAGCAGGUCAUAGUGAUCCGGUGGUUCUGAAUGGAAGGGCCAUCGCUCAACGGAUAAAAGGUACUCCGGGGAUAACAGGCUGAUACCGCCCAAGAGUUCAUAUCGACGGCGGUGUUUGGCACCUCGAUGUCGGCUCAUCACAUCCUGGGGCUGAAGUAGGUCCCAAGGGUAUGGCUGUUCGCCAUUUAAAGUGGUACGCGAGCUGGGUUUAGAACGUCGUGAGACAGUUCGGUCCCUAUCUGCCGUGGGCGCUGGAGAAUUGAGGGGGGCUGCUCCUAGUACGAGAGGACCGGAGUGGACGCAUCACUGGUGUUCGGGUUGUCAUGCCAAUGGCACUGCCCGGUAGCUAAAUGCGGAAGAGAUAAGUGCUGAAAGCAUCUAAGCACGAAACUUGCCCCGAGAUGAGUUCUCCCUGAGAC